Molecule: ribosomal RNA, 588 nt
Filed under: uncultured Glomus
Lineage: Eukaryota; Fungi; Glomeromycota; Glomeromycetes; Glomerales; Glomeraceae
Description: SSU rRNA
Rfam family: Eukaryotic small subunit ribosomal RNA
Source: RNAcentral
AAGCUCGUAGUUGAAUUUCGAGAUCAGUACGCUGGUCGUGCCUUCGGUAUGCACUGGUGUCACUGGUUUCUCCCUUCUGAAGAACCGUUAUGUCAUUAAGUUGGUGUGGCGGGGAAUCAGGACUGUUACUUUGAUAAAAUUAGAGUGUUUAAAGCAGGCUCGCGCUUGAAUACAUUAGCAUGGAAUAAUGAAAUAGGACGUUUGACCCUAUUUUGUUGGUUUCUAGGAUCGACGUAAUGAUUAAUAGGGAUAGUUGGGGGCAUUAGUAUUCAAUUGUCAGAGGUGAAAUUCUUGGAUUUAUUGAAGACUAACUACUGCGAAAGCAUUUGCCAAGGAUGUUUUCAUUAAUCAAGAACGAAAGUUAGGGGAUCGAAGACGAUCAGAUACCGUCGUAGUCUUAACCAUAAACUAUGCCGACUAGGGAUCGGAUGAUGUUAAUUUUUUAAUGACUCAUUCGGCGCCUUACGGGAAACCAAAGUGUUUGGGUUCCGGGGGGAGUAUGGUCGCAAGGCUGAAACUUAAAGGAAUUGACGGAAGGGCACCACCAGGGGUGGGGCCUGCGGCUUAAUUUGACUCAACACGGGAAAA